RNAcentral lists this ribosomal RNA (252 nucleotides) under uncultured bacterium. RNAcentral describes it as "partial 16S ribosomal RNA". It matches the Rfam family "Bacterial small subunit ribosomal RNA", at positions 524 to 776 of the family's 1533-position model. The record is from RNAcentral.
UACAGAGGUCCCGAGCGUUGUUCGGAUUCACUGGGCGUAAAGGGUGCGUAGGUGGUGAGGUAAGUCGGAUGUGAAAUCUCGGAGCUCAACUCCGAAAUGGCAUUGGAAACUACCUUGCUCGAGGGUUGGAAGGGGGACUGGAAUGCUUGGUGUAGCAGUGAAAUGCGUAGAUAUCAAGCGGAACACCAGUGGCGAAGGCGAGUCCCUGGACAACUCCUGACACUGAGGCACGAAGCUAGGGGAGCAAACAGG